GUCAAUAUAAAUAUAUUGGUCCUCGUAAGAGUCCGAUAUGUCGUCGAAGGUCGAAAGAGUGUGGCUCCCGUCCAUGUAGGUAUAUCGGUCCUUGUCAGAGUCCGGUAUGUCGUCGACUAUGGAGCCGUCGGUUUCGCACGGAUACCAAGUCCGAUUUGGCACGUCGGGGCUCGACCUUGGCGAGCGCCGAUCGUCAGUUGAAGAGUUAAACUCCGAGAUUUCAAACUGGAUUCGCAUUCCCAAUGAACAAGUACAAAGUUUAUUGGUGAUACAACUUCAGGUUGUCGGCGU
This 291-nucleotide long non-coding RNA is filed under the name Elaeis guineensis (African oil palm). Its description in RNAcentral is "long non-coding RNA (EGUI_LNC026455)". The record is from RNAcentral. Lineage: Eukaryota; Viridiplantae; Streptophyta; Magnoliopsida; Arecales; Arecaceae.